RNAcentral lists this ribosomal RNA (819 nucleotides) under Triticum aestivum (bread wheat). Its description in RNAcentral is "partial small subunit ribosomal RNA". The record is from RNAcentral. Lineage: Eukaryota; Viridiplantae; Streptophyta; Magnoliopsida; Poales; Poaceae.
CGACCAGAGAGGAGCGUCGGGCGCGAGGGGGUUUAAGGGGUAAGAUGAACGCAGCCCUCUCUUGCUGCUCGUCCCCGCCGCGCUAAAGCGGCGCUAAAGCGUGGCCUAAGUACCCCCCAUCGGUAGCACACUCCGGCCGGUGUGCGCCCGUGACGGCCACUCGGGGGUCGGGCGGGCAGGAGCGGCCAGGAGGGGUAGACGGGGGUUUUCAAAAGGUACUGUAAGGAUUAGCCAGCAGCAGCUCCGUAAACGACGACGGUACGCACGUCCACGUCUGGACCCACCACGGCGACCGCGAAUGCUAGGCUGGCACUCGGCCGAAUACCCCGUCCAAGGGCCGCCUCAGUUGCCCUCGUCGCGGCCGCCGGGGCCGGGCGGAUCCGGUCGUCCCCAACGUAGACUGCGGAUCUGCGGACAUGCGUGCGUGCCUACGUUCGUCUCCCAGUGUUCCACACGCAAAACUGUGCGAGGUGGAAGUCCCAGCAGAGACAAAAGAAACUCAAUCGAUCCACAUAAGGUGAAGAAGUCAAUUCAAGUCAACUUUACUCCUAUGAACUAAAACUGUAGCGGCUUUUGCCGAGGCGAAGAACAUGUGGUUGCCUGGCCCUGGGUGCUUUUUUGGGAAAAGUUUGGUAGUUUCAUUACGGGUUCAUUCCUUUGGAGAUGGUCCACGUCAUAUUCAGUUGUGAUCGACGAGUACGACCUUCUUUUCUAUCCUUUUGUGACUUUUUUGUCAACGUUAGUCCUACUUGUUCCACUCCUUUUUAGUUUGGAAGUACCCAAAUCAAUUUAUAACACGUUCGUUUUAUACCCAGUUAA